AGAGAGAGCAUUCCAGAAGGAGGAACUGCCCCUGGCCUGCCUUCCUCUCUCUGGGAAGGUAGGGAAGGAAGAGUUGAAGCUACUUUGUAGAGCAUUCUUAUUUUCUCCGUUGUCUCCUAAUGUGUACUUUGAACCUGGUUUGGGAGCAGUCCCUCCACACCAGGGCCUAGCACUCAGGAGACUGAUCUUGGAGUGCCGGAACCUGAAGGGUCCAAGUAGGCCCUCUGGGCCCCCUCUCUUGUAUUAUAGAUGGGGAAACCAAGGCCCAGAGAAGGGAAGGAUUAGCCCAGGGUCACCCAGCAAGUUGGUGCCACAACGGAGUCCCUGAGAAGCCUACCAACUCCCAAGCUGGCAUCAGGGUCAUUUAUUUGGUAUCUGCUGGGUGAGGGGCACAGGGUCAGGCCUUGCCUGGAAUUGAAUCUGCUCUGUGUCUGGGGACAAGUCCGUUACCUCCUCUGGGACUCAGCUUUCCUGUCUGGAUAAACCUUUGUCCCAAGGCUGCCAAGAAGGUCCAGCAAUCACAGAAAGAAUUAAGCGUACAUGAGGGGGUGGGGGGUGAAAGGAGUUGGGGUGGGCGGCAUUAGGGGCAGACUCCCUUGAGGCCUGAGGGCCGUGUGGGGCUGUGCCCAGGUGAGCCCAUUCUUCCAUUUGCUCCCCAGCUGGUAUUCCCUCUCGAAUGGUUUCCACUCAACAAGCCCAGUGUUGGGGACUAUUUCCACAUGGCCUACAACGUCAUCACACCCUUUCUCUUGCUCAAGGUACUGUCCCAGGGCCCCCACUCUCUCCUGUCAUCCCCAUUCUUUGCACACCUGGCAAGAAGGUGAUGCUAAGCCCUGUGUCCUGACUCAAGCACACUCCUGCCUGCUGCUGGGGGGUGAAG
RNAcentral lists this small RNA (880 nucleotides) under Pongo abelii (Sumatran orangutan). Its description in RNAcentral is "retained intron". The record is from RNAcentral. Lineage: Eukaryota; Metazoa; Chordata; Mammalia; Primates; Hominidae.